CUGCGAUCUGUGCUGGGAAAGAUGGGGAAGACGCCUGAGAGGGAAACUUGACUGCGCCUGGACAGAGAAAUGGGUAGACUGGAAUCUGUGCCUGCAGCGGGCACCUGGCAGGGGCCGGUGUGAGCAGAAGUGUGGGUGUUGGAAUGAUGGUGCCGACCCCAGGGUGGACAGGGGGCUGCGAGAUGGACCAGGGAGCCCUGGGUCAGGCCACGAUCCACGCCUGGCCUCUCCCUCCCUUCAGCUCCCCAAGUUCCUCACCACGGCCACUGGGCCCAGGGACCCUGGGAACCAGCCGUGUGGGGCACCCAGCAGGACCCUUGUGCCACUGGGUGGCUGCUGGCAGGUCCCGGGCCGUCUGUUCUGGAACAGUGGAGGAUCUGGGAUCAGCACCUUCCUGUGUGGCUGUGAGCCCUUCGCCCAGGGUGACCACUAGAGCCCAGGACUCAGAGGGUCCAGCCCAGACUCCACAGUUCCCUUACUUUCAGGAGUGGAGGGAGGCCCAGGAGUAUGUCUGAGCCAGGCCAGGCAGGGUCCCAGCCCCUCCCAGUGGUUCCCGGCAGUCCCAGGCUGCCUUCUCCAGGCGGGGACGGGGCGGGGCCGGGGGAUGCCAUAGUGACAAGCUCACCUGCUGCUUCAGUCUCCAAACAAGUGCUUCUGGGUUUCAUUUUCAGCUCUGGCUGGGGAUGGACCCUGACCUUCAAACAGGCCAGACGGUGGCAGCCACAGGCUGAGUGUGGGCACCUGGGGCCUGAGCGCCCUCGGCAGCAGGAGUGCAGGUCUCCCCAUGAGGUGUCUCCCCCAUUCACCCUGGGAAGCCCAGACAGUGGCCCGAGGUCAUGUGGCAGGUAGGGUGCAGGGCAGGAGCUGCUUGGGGGGCCUGGGCCUCCCCCAGCUCCCUUCCUCAGAGCAACCCAGACCCCUGACCCAAUUAGGCCCAGGCCCAGCCAGCAGUUGGGGUCAUUCCAGGUGCUUCUGAAGAGGAGGGUAUGGCUGAAGCCUCCUCUGGGGACAGCAGCCCCUCUGUCCUGGGAGGUGGCCUGUAGGAAGCUGAGCAUGAGCAGGCAGAAGUGGACGUCCUAGUUCUUUCCAAACCCCCUCACUGGGCCAGGCCCAAAAGGACACCCCAUGGCGGGCCCUGCUGGGCUCACGGGGGACUCAGGGUUGGACCCCAGUAGGCCUCUGCCAGGGUGUGGUGGGCACUGUCUCUGUGGAAGUUAGGAAGGGCUGUUGAGGGAAGGUGGCAUGGCGGGCUGGGUCUUGAGCGGUGGGGAGGAGUUGGGCCCAUCCACUUGUAGCGGGGCACAGGGCUCUGGCUGACCACCAGCAGGGCAGGUGGAGGGAAGGGGCCGGCGCCCACAGCCCUCUUUUCCCACUGGUGUCCUCCUGCUGUGAAGCCAGGCCUGUAGGAGCCUGCAAGCCUUGGGGGGCACAGGGGACAGGCCUGGCACACAGAGGGCUCCUUGGGCACUCAUCCCGUAGUAGGGAGACAGGCCCUGGGAGGGGAGGGAGCCGGGAGGCAGCCAUGCGCCCUCCCUAAGAUGGAAAACGCAGGGGCCUGGUGAGGGCGGUGCUGACCACAGUGCUCUGCACACCAGGCUAUUGCUGGCGCCCCGGCUCCAGGGAACACAGAGUCCUUGGGGACACAGGGCCCGGGGGCCUCCAGAGCUGGGAUACGGUGGAGGGGCUGCUGGAUCCCAAACACCCUUUAGGCCUCCUUCAUCCCCAGUCAGCAUUCCAGCCAGGACCCCGGGGGCCCCAUCCAGAGUCCUGUCAGCGGGGGCCAUAGCCUGUGGCUGCAGGCCUGGGCAGGUGGGUGACACGAGGCAGGACCGACCCCACGGUUCUAACGCCUGCUCCCCACUGGCCUUGGACAAAUCGCUGCCCUUUUCUGAGCUUGAUUCCUCACCUGUGAAGUGGGCAUCAAGGUAAUGCCUGAGGCCGGGUGUGGUGACUCAUGCCUGUAAUCCCAGCACUUUGGGAGGCCGAGGUGGGCAGAUCAGCUGAAGUCAGGAGUUCAAGACCAGCCUGGCCAACAUGGCAAAACCCCGUCUCUCCUAAAAAUGCACUGGGCAUGGUGGUGCGCGCCUGUAAUCCCAGCUACUCGCAUGCUGAGGUGGGAGAAUCGCUUGAACCCUAGAGGCGGAGGCUGCAGUGAGCCGAGAUCACUGAGCUAGCGCCACUGCACUUCAGCCUGGGUGAAAGAGCAAGACUUCAUCUCAGAAAAUAAAAACAAGGCUGGGUGCGGUGGCUCACACCUGUAAUCCCAGCACUUUGGGAGACCGAGGCAGGUGGAUCACCUGAGGUCAGGAGUUUGAGACCAGCCUGGCCAACAUAGUGAAACCCCGUCUCUACUAAAAAUACAAAAAUCAGCUGGGUGUGGUGGUGCAUGCCUGUAAUCCCAGCUACUUGGGAGGCUGAGGCAGGAGAAUCCUUUGAAACCCGGGAGGCAGAGGUUGCGAUGAGCCAAGAUCACGCCACUGCACUCCAGCCUCAGCGACAGAGUGAGACUCCGUCUCAAAAAAAUAAAAAACAAAAAACUGCCUGAGACUUGGGGGCAGUGAACAACCUGUGUGAUACACAGUAGGUGCUGAGGGCCAGGUAUCUGCGCUGUUCUCUUUCUCCUCUGAACAGAGAGGUGCCAUGAUCUGGCCAAGGACACACAGCAAUCAGAGGCAGGCUGGCUUCUCUGCCCCGGUCCCGCCAUCCAGCGACACCUGUCAGCCCCCUUGCAAGCUCUGUGCUCCUCGAAGGUCGGGGUGGGGGAGGGCGGGGUGGGUCUGGGCCCCGUUACAAGGGAUUCCUAUAAAUGGCGUGGAGAGGAUUAAUAAUGUAUUUAUAACACAUUUUGGUGGUAGUCGAAAAUGAUCUAUAAAUGUGCAGUAAAUGUUUUAUAAUGUUUUUGUAACCCGUUAUAAAUGAUAAAUGGCAGACCAUAGAUGCCGGAUCAAAUAUUUAUAACGCACUGUGCGCGGCGUUGGGCUGCUACAGUUCAGCAAAGCCAUUAAUAAUAAAGUGGAUGGAAAUGCA
This 3027-nucleotide long non-coding RNA is filed under the name Pan troglodytes (chimpanzee). RNAcentral's name for it is "lincRNA". The record is from RNAcentral. Lineage: Eukaryota; Metazoa; Chordata; Mammalia; Primates; Hominidae.